UACGUAGGGUGCAAGCGUUAAUCGGAAUUACUGGGCGUAAAGCGUGCGCAGGCGGUUUUGUAAGUCUGUCGUGAAAGCCCCGGGCUUAACCUGGGAAUUGCGAUGGAGACUGCAAGGCUUGAAUCUGGCAGAGGGGGUAGAAUUCCACGUGUAGCAGGUGAAAUGCGUAGAGAUGAUGGAGGAACACCGAUGGCGAAGGCAGCCCCCUGGGUCAAGAUUGACGCUCAUGCACGAAAGCGUGGGGAGCAAACAGG
This 254-nucleotide ribosomal RNA is filed under the name uncultured bacterium. RNAcentral's name for it is "partial 16S ribosomal RNA". It matches the Rfam family "Bacterial small subunit ribosomal RNA", at positions 524 to 776 of the family's 1533-position model. The record is from RNAcentral.